UCUGAACUCAACCUCAGGGCGUUCAACAGAGAGCCUUUGGAUUACUGUCUUGUGGUUGACCAUAUUAGGACUAAUACUUCAUCUCAAAGAAUCACGGGGACACCUGCGGCCGUUGAAGAUUUUCUUUGGGGGGAACUACACGCCCCCAGAAAAAUAGAUAGCUUCGAAUAAUAACUGAAAGAACUUUUGCAACUGAAAGUGCACGGCCAACACGAGCAGACAUGUCUUGCCUUGUGAUGUUCCGCUUCCUUGCUGUGGGAGACACACUCUGCAGGGGACCUUAAGCUAUUUUCAUUUCAACUGUGUUUAUAAGGAUAAACAUCGAAGGAAAACCUUUAAAGAGAAGAUUGAUAAUAAUAAACCUCAGUCCACUUUUGAUCUUCAUUUCU
This is a long non-coding RNA of Penaeus monodon (black tiger shrimp), 389 nucleotides long. RefSeq lists it as uncharacterized. NCBI's taxonomy places the organism in Eukaryota, Metazoa, Arthropoda, Malacostraca, Decapoda, Penaeidae. The record is from RefSeq and is a predicted model, not a curated record. The transcript has 2 exons.